Ribosomal RNA from Desulfoplanes formicivorans, 115 nucleotides. Lineage: Bacteria; Pseudomonadati; Thermodesulfobacteriota; Desulfovibrionia; Desulfovibrionales; Desulfoplanaceae. The record is from Rfam.
CCUGGUGACCAAGGCGGAGGGGACACACCCGAUUCCAUCUCGAACUCGGAAGUUAAGACCUCCAGCGCCGAUGAUACUCCGGAUCCAUCCGCGGGAAAGUAGGUCGUCGCCAGGA